RNAcentral lists this ribosomal RNA (840 nucleotides) under Aspergillus terreus var. terreus. Its description in RNAcentral is "LSU rRNA". It matches the Rfam family "Eukaryotic large subunit ribosomal RNA", at positions 38 to 893 of the family's 3401-position model. The record is from RNAcentral. Lineage: Eukaryota; Fungi; Ascomycota; Eurotiomycetes; Eurotiales; Aspergillaceae.
GCAUAUCAAUAAGCGGAGGAAAAGAAACCAACCGGGAUUGCCUCAGUAACGGCGAGUGAAGCGGCAAGAGCUCAAAUUUGAAAGCUGGCUCCUUCGGGGUCCGCAUUGUAAUUUGCAGAGGAUGCUUCGGGUGCAGCCCCCGUCUAAGUGCCCUGGAACGGGCCGUCAUAGAGGGUGAGAAUCCCGUAUGGGGCGGGGUGUCUGCGUCCGUGUGAAGCUCCUUCGACGAGUCGAGUUGUUUGGGAAUGCAGCUCUAAAUGGGUGGUAAAUUUCAUCUAAAGCUAAAUACUGGCCGGAGACCGAUAGCGCACAAGUAGAGUGAUCGAAAGAUGAAAAGCACUUUGAAAAGAGAGUUAAACAGCACGUGAAAUUGUUGAAAGGGAAGCGCUUGCAACCAGACUCGCUCGCGGGGUUCAGCCGGGCUUCGGCCCGGUGUACUUCCCCGCGGGCGGGCCAGCGUCGGUUUGGGCGGCCGGUCAAAGGCCUCCGGAAUGUAGCGCCCUUCGGGGCGCCUUAUAGCCGGGGGUGCAAUGCGGCCAGCCUGGACCGAGGAACGCGCUUCGGCACGGACGCUGGCAUAAUGGUUGUAAACGACCCGUCUUGAAACACGGACCAAGGAGUCUAACAUCUACGCGAGUGUUCGGGUGUCAAACCCGUACGCGCAGUGAAAGCGAACGGAGGUGGGAGCCCCCUCGCGGGGCGCACCAUCGACCGAUCCUGAUGUCUUCGGAUGGAUUUGAGUACGAGCGUAGCUGUGGGGACCCGAAAGAUGGUGAACUAUGCCUGAAUAGGGCGAAGCCAGAGGAAACUCUGGUGGAGGCUCGCAGCGGUUCUGACGUG